Molecule: long non-coding RNA, 223 nt
Filed under: Polistes fuscatus (common paper wasp)
Lineage: Eukaryota; Metazoa; Arthropoda; Insecta; Hymenoptera; Vespidae
Description: uncharacterized LOC122520257
Source: RNAcentral
AUAAAAGUAUAUAAUGCGCAUACUUUCUAAACAUUUAUAUAUAGCAAUUUCAAUUAAUUGUAUGGAUUACAAAGUACCCUACCCUAAUCGUAUAUACGAGCACGCGCUUAAAUGGAUACGUGCUUGCAUGCACAUAAAAGUAGAAAGUAUUUGAAGGAAAAUCAACGAAUAUAUGCAUGUAUUUAUAUUGUGUGGAAGAAGUAAAAGUUGGGUGAAGAAAAAA